This 463-nucleotide ribosomal RNA is filed under the name uncultured bacterium. RNAcentral's name for it is "partial 16S ribosomal RNA". It matches the Rfam family "Bacterial small subunit ribosomal RNA", at positions 29 to 507 of the family's 1533-position model. The record is from RNAcentral.
ACGAACGCUGGCGGCGUGCUUAGCACAUGCAAGUCGAACGGAAAGGCCCUGCUUGCAGGGUACUCGAGUGGCGAACGGGUGAGUAACACGUGGGUGAUCUGCCCUGCACUUCGGGAUAAGCCUGGGAAACUGGGUCUAAUACCGGAUAGGAGCCAUUUUUAGUGUGAUGGUUGGAAAGUUUUUUCGGUGUAGGAUGAGCUCGCGGCCUAUCAGCUUGUUGGUGGGGUAAUGGCCUACCAAGGCGGCGACGGGUAGCCGGCCUGAGAGGGUGGACGGCCACAUUGGGACUGAGAUACGGCCCAGACUCCUACGGGAGGCAGCAGUGGGGAAUAUUGCACAAUGGGCGCAAGCCUGAUGCAGCGACGCCGCGUGGGGGAUGACGGCCUUCGGGUUGUAAACUCCUUUCGCUAGGGACGAAGCUUUUGUGACGGUACCUAGAUAAGAAGCACCGGCUAACUACGUG